CCUACGGGAGGCAGCAGUAGGGAAUUUUCGUCAAUGGGCGCAAGCCUGAACGAGCGAUGCCGCGUGAGUGAAGAAGGCCUUCGGGUCGUAAAGCUCUGUUGCGGGGGAAAAAAGCCGCAUCAGGAAAUGGGUUCUGACUGAUUGUUCCCCGCCAGAAAGUCACGGCUAACCACGUUCCAGCAGCCGCGGUAAUACGUAGGUGGCGAGCGUUAUCCGGAAGGGUUGGGCGUAAAGGGUGCGCAGGCGGGCCUGCAAGUCUGGAGUGAAACGCAUGAGCUCAACUCAGGAAUGGCUUUGGAAACUGGAGGACUGGAGAGCAGGAGAGGGCGGUGGAACUCCAUGUGUAGCGGUAAAAUGCGUAGAUAUAGGGAAGAACACCAGUGGCGAAGGCGGCCGCCUGGCCUGUGGCUGACGCUGAGGCACGAAAGCGUGGGGAGCAAAUAGGAUUAGAUACCCCAGUAGUC
RNAcentral lists this ribosomal RNA (464 nucleotides) under uncultured bacterium. Its description in RNAcentral is "partial 16S ribosomal RNA". It matches the Rfam family "Bacterial small subunit ribosomal RNA", at positions 338 to 795 of the family's 1533-position model. The record is from RNAcentral.